RNAcentral lists this ribosomal RNA (231 nucleotides) under Picochlorum sp. RCC944. RNAcentral describes it as "partial Eukaryotic large subunit ribosomal RNA". It matches the Rfam family "Eukaryotic large subunit ribosomal RNA", at positions 3120 to 3351 of the family's 3401-position model. The record is from RNAcentral. Lineage: Eukaryota; Viridiplantae; Chlorophyta; Trebouxiophyceae.
CUGAACGCCUCUAAGCCAGAAUCCGUGCUUGAAAUCGACGAUGUUUUGUCCUGCGUAUUUCAGUUGCGUUGAAAUAGAACACUUGUUGUUCGAGAACCAAAGUUUGGCGGGCUUCACCUUGAUAGCGGAAAUGCUUGAUUGGUUUGCCUGCAUUAGCAUUUUAUAGAUUCGCGGGGAAAAAUCCUUUGCAGACGACUUGAAUUGGAAUGGGGUACUGUAAGCGGUAGAGUA